Pseudopipra pipra is the source of this 223-nucleotide long non-coding RNA. RefSeq lists it as uncharacterized. The record is from RefSeq and is a predicted model, not a curated record. NCBI's taxonomy places the organism in Eukaryota, Metazoa, Chordata, Aves, Passeriformes, Pipridae. The transcript is spliced from 2 exons.
CAGCUGAGUGCAGGCUAAAGCUACACCCCCUGCUUCCACCUGGGCAGAAAUGGAGCUGCACAUCAGCACAGGAAAUCCCUGUUUUGCAAACUGCAGCUCUCCCAGUAACAGGGUUGACAUUACCCAGCGGUCCAAACGCAAACAGCUGGUAUUUAAAGCUGUCUCGAGGCUGAUCACUUGGAAUAAGCCUGACAACAAAAUAGAUGUGCUGUUAACUGCUGUA